ACGCUCGACACCUACGUGAGGCAGCAGUUGGGAAUAUUGGACAAUGGAGGAAACUCUGAUCCAGUGACGCCGCGUGAAGGAAGAAGGUCUUCGGAUUGUAAACUUAUUUUGUCAGGGAAGAAAAAUGACUGUACCUGAAGAAAAAGCACCGGCUAACUACGUGCCAGCAGCCGACGGUAAUCUGAGGCGGGCGUGGCGAAGGC
Molecule: ribosomal RNA, 203 nt
Filed under: uncultured bacterium
Lineage: Bacteria
Description: partial 16S ribosomal RNA
Rfam family: Bacterial small subunit ribosomal RNA
Source: RNAcentral